Molecule: long non-coding RNA, 334 nt
Organism: Labrus mixtus (cuckoo wrasse)
Lineage: Eukaryota; Metazoa; Chordata; Actinopteri; Labriformes; Labridae
Exons: 2
Source: RefSeq, a predicted model, not a curated record
CAUGCAGUUUGGAUAGAUUUAGAUAAACCACCUAUGAAGUGAAUAGACGAUUUAAGAUGUGUAAUUACUGCUAAACAGAUUAUAACAAAGGUUAUACAUGUAUGAGACGAUGAAGAGUUACAAUAAAAACAAGGAGUAAAAAAACAGAAAGGAGGGAACAGAAGGGGACAUUUAUAAAAAUAAAAAGCUUGUAAAAGAUUUAUGAUACUUUUUUUCAAACGGUGUAUAAAUACUGUAUUAUUCCUUGAGUGUAGUUUUUUACUGAAGAUGUAUCAAGUCAGCCUUUAGAAGAAAAAAACUUUUCAAUAACAGAAACAUAAAGGAACAUGGAAAA